GGAGGAAAAGAAACCAACAGGGAUUGCCCUAGUAACGGCGAGUGAAGCGGCAACAGCUCAAAUUUGAAAUCUGGCGCGAGCCCGAGUUGUGAUUUGUAGAGGAUGCUUCUAGGCAGCGGCCGUUCUAAGUUCCUUGGAACAGGACGUCAUAGAGGGUGAGAAUCCCGUAUGUGACCGGCACGCACCUUCGACGUAGCUCCUUCGACGAGUCGAGUUGUUUGGGAAUGCAGCUCUAAAUGGGAGGUAAAUUUCUUCUAAAGCUAAAUACCGGCUGGAGACCGAUAGCGCACAAGUAGAGUGAUCGAAAGAUGAAAAGCACUUUGGAAAGAGAGUUAAAAAGCACGUGAAAUUGUUGAAAGGGAAGCGCCUGCAACCAGACUUCGGGGCAGUGUUCCGCCGGUCUUCUGACCGGUCUAUUCGCUGUCGCGAGGCCAUCAUCGUCUGGGGCCGCCGGAUAAGACUGGAGGAAUGUAGCUCCCCUCGGGGAGCGUUAUAGCUUCCGGUGAUGCGGCGCGUCUCGGGCGAGGUCCGCGCUUCGGCAAGGAUGAUGGCGUAAUGGUUGUCGGCGGCCCGUCUUGAAACACGGACCAAGGAGUCUAACAUCUAUGCGAGUGUUCGGGUGUCAAACCCCUACGCGUAAUGAAAGUGAACGGAGGUGGGAACUUUUUGUGCACCAUCGACCGAUCCUGAUGUCCUCGGAUGGAUUUGAGUAAGAGCAUAGCUGUUGGGACCCGAAAGAUGGUGAACUAUGCCUGAAUAGGGUGAAGCCAGAGGAAACUCUGGUGGAGGCUCGCAGCGGUUCUGACGUGCAAAUCGAUCGUCAAAUUUGGGUAUAGGGGCGAAAGACUAAUCGAACCAUCUAGU
RNAcentral lists this ribosomal RNA (864 nucleotides) under Trochophora fasciculata. RNAcentral describes it as "eukaryotic LSU rRNA". It matches the Rfam family "Eukaryotic large subunit ribosomal RNA", at positions 52 to 948 of the family's 3401-position model. The record is from RNAcentral. Lineage: Eukaryota; Fungi; Ascomycota; Dothideomycetes; Mycosphaerellales; Mycosphaerellaceae.